GCGCGAGUGGCGGAAUGGCAGACGCGAUAGAUUUAGGUUCUAUUGUCCGGACGGACGUGGGGGUUCGACUCCCCCCUCGCGCA
Molecule: transfer RNA, 83 nt
Filed under: Mycobacterium deserti
Lineage: Bacteria; Bacillati; Actinomycetota; Actinomycetes; Mycobacteriales; Mycobacteriaceae
Description: tRNA-Leu
Rfam family: tRNA
About the family: Transfer RNA (tRNA) molecules are approximately 80 nucleotides in length. Their secondary structure includes four short double-helical elements and three loops (D, anti-codon, and T loops).
Source: RNAcentral